This 217-nucleotide long non-coding RNA is filed under the name Homo sapiens (human). RNAcentral describes it as "non-protein coding lnc-ARMC12-2:1". The record is from RNAcentral. Lineage: Eukaryota; Metazoa; Chordata; Mammalia; Primates; Hominidae.
UACUCUUCUGGACAUUGCCUAGGCAAAUAAUUUAUGAUUAAGUCCCCAAAAUCAAAUGCAACAAAAAGAAAAACUGACAGUUGGGACCUAAUUAAAGAGCUUCAGCACAGCAAAAUAAGCUAUCAACGAAGCAGAUGGACAAACUACAGAAUGGGAGAAAACAUUUGCAAAUUAUGCAUCUGACAAAGGACUAAUAUCCAGAAAAGAACUUAAACAA